GACGAACGCUGGCGGCGUGCUUAACACAUGCAAGUCGAACGGAAAGGCCCUGCUUUUGUGGGGUGCUCGAGUGGCGAACGGGUGAGUAACACGUGAGUAACCUGCCCUUGACUUUGGGAUAACUUCAGGAACUGGGGCUAAUACCGGAUAGGAGCUCCUGCUGCAUGGUGGGGGUUGGAAAGUUUCGGCGGUUGGGGAUGGACUCGCGGCUUAUCAGCUUGUUGGUGGGGUAGUGGCUUACCAAGGCUUUGACGGGUAGCCGGCCUGAGAGGGUGACCGGCCACAUUGGGACUGCGAUACGGCCCAGACUCCUACGGGAGGCAGCAGUGGGGAAUAUUGCACAAUGGGCGGAAGCCUGAUGCAGCAACGCCGCGUGCGGGAUGACGGCCUUCGGGUUGUAAACCGCUUUCGCCUGUGACGAAGCGUGAGUGACGGUAAUGGGUAAAGAAGCACCGGCUAACUACGUG
This 467-nucleotide ribosomal RNA is filed under the name uncultured bacterium. RNAcentral's name for it is "partial 16S ribosomal RNA". It matches the Rfam family "Bacterial small subunit ribosomal RNA", at positions 28 to 507 of the family's 1533-position model. The record is from RNAcentral.